This 270-nucleotide long non-coding RNA is filed under the name Gossypium barbadense (sea-island cotton). Its description in RNAcentral is "long non-coding RNA (GBAR_LNC015499)". The record is from RNAcentral. Lineage: Eukaryota; Viridiplantae; Streptophyta; Magnoliopsida; Malvales; Malvaceae.
CUCAAAACAUUUUAAACCCUAAACCCCCAAUUUCUUAAACAUUCUAGUUAUUCUUCGCAAACUCUUCAACCAUAUUUAGGGAAACAAGGAAUGGAAACAUUGCGGGAAAGCACGAAAUUCAAAGGAAUUUUGAUUCUAUAUUAAAGUUUAAGGGUUCGUAAAUUAAAAUUUUUAAUGUUCCAUUAAAUUGUUUGCUUAGUAUUUUAUUAGGAUAUCAUGCUUCCUAGAAAAGUUAGAAAAACCAAUGAAUCUAAACCAUCGACGGAUCUA